This 510-nucleotide ribosomal RNA is filed under the name Triticum aestivum (bread wheat). RNAcentral describes it as "partial small subunit ribosomal RNA". Lineage: Eukaryota; Viridiplantae; Streptophyta; Magnoliopsida; Poales; Poaceae. The record is from RNAcentral.
AUGAGUCUACUAUGCUGGAACUGCCGUGGGGCUGGCAAACCCGCGACAGUUCGUGAGUUUCGUGAUCUCACGAGGCAACUUGCCCCCUCUAUAGUUUGUAUUGUUGAGACUCAAAUAGAGGGCUCUCGAGUGGAGAAUAUGGUAGGCUCCUUAGGCUAUGAAAAAAGUUUUGCAGUGAGUAGUUCUGGUAGAAGUGGGGGCCUUGGAAUAUUUUGGAACGAGGAAAUAAAGCUUGAAGUUGUUGGUUAUUCUGAGUAUCACAUUGAUGUUGUUGUUGAGGAGUUAGUGAAUAUUCAGACAAGAAUUACCUUUAUAUAUGGGGAAGCGCAGGUUAGUGAAUGUUACAAAACAUGGGACUUUCUCCGUGGAAUAGCAAGGCUCAACACCAGCCAUGGCUUGUCAUGGGCGAUUUUAAUGAAGUUCUUUUGCCAAUCGAGCAUGACGGAGUUGGAAACAGAAGCCAAGCCCAGAUGGAUUCAUUCCGGCACACACUUGACACUUGUGGCUUAA